CGCAACUCGGGUGGCGCAGCCUACGAAAGGCAGUGUCGCGAGGAGAGCCCAUCAGCUCUGGGAAGUGCCUUNAGNGGGGAGGAAGGCGUUAAGGGGUAAUAACCUUGACGAUUGACGUUACCCGCAGAAGAAGCACCGGCUAACUCCGUGCCAGCAGCCGCGGUAAUA
RNAcentral lists this ribosomal RNA (168 nucleotides) under uncultured bacterium. RNAcentral describes it as "partial 16S ribosomal RNA". The record is from RNAcentral.